RNAcentral lists this unclassified non-coding RNA (303 nucleotides) under plant metagenome. RNAcentral describes it as "partial contains 5.8S ribosomal RNA, internal transcribed spacer 2, and large subunit ribosomal RNA". The stretch from base 1 to 105 matches the Rfam family "5.8S ribosomal RNA", at positions 50 to 154 of the family's 154-position model. The record is from RNAcentral.
GAAAUGCGAUAAGUAAUGUGAAUUGCAGAAUUCAGUGAAUCAUCGAAUCUUUGAACGCACAUUGCGCCUGCCAGUAUUCUGGCGGGCAUGCCUGUUCGAGCGUCAUUUCAACCAUCAAGCCCCGCGCUUGUGUUGGGGACCUGCGGCUGCCGCAGGCCCUGAAAACCAGUGGCGGGCUCGCUGUCACACCGGGCGUAGUAGAUUUUAUCUCGCUCAGGGCGUGCUGCGGGUUCCGGCCGUUAAAAAGCCUUUUUUACCCAAGGUUGACCUCGGAUCAGGUAGGAAGACCCGCUGAACUUAAGC